This 402-nucleotide ribosomal RNA is filed under the name uncultured bacterium. Its description in RNAcentral is "bacterial SSU rRNA". It matches the Rfam family "Bacterial small subunit ribosomal RNA", at positions 355 to 745 of the family's 1533-position model. The record is from RNAcentral.
UGGGGAANUUUUGGACAAUGGGCGCAAGCCUGAUCCAGCCAUGCCGCGUGAGUGAAGNAAGGGCCUUCGGGUUGUAAAGCUCUUUCAGUUGGGAAGAAACGAUUGCAACUAAUAAUUGUAAUUAAUGACGGUACCGACAGAAGAAGCACCGGCUAACUACGUGCCAGCAGCCGCGGUAAUACGUAGGGUGCGAGCGUUAAUCGGAAUUACUGGGCGUAAAGGGUGCGCAGGCGGUUUUGUAAGUCAGAUGUGAAAUCCCCGGGCUUAACCUGGGAAUGGCGUUUGAAACUGCAAGGCUAGAGUGUAGCAGAGGGGAGUGGAAUUCCGCGUGUAGCAGUGAAAUGCGUAGAUAUGCGGAGGAACACCGAUGGCGAAGGCAGGCUCCCUGGGCUAACACUGACG